GGCAUCAGAGGCCAAACUGAACCACAGGAGGGACCUUCAAGAGGUCCAGCUAGCUCGGACCAGCAGUGAGUGGACCUUUCUUUUUUUAAAUGAUUUUCUGAAUCAGUUUUAUUCAGUGUGAUUUAUUUCUAUGAAUUUAAAGAUUCCUUCUAUACAUUGCUUAGCUGAUUUUGCUAAAGUUAUUUGGACAACAGACUUUGAGAUUUAUGAUUCAGAAAUAUCUAGCUCAGAUUUUAUCAGAAUAUAGAGGAUGUCAGAUUUUAUCCAAGAUAAUUAUUUUAGACCACCAUGAAUUAUAGAAAGCAGAGUUUGAGUUUUCUAUCAGAUAAAAAGGGCAGCACAGUUAUAGAUUGAAUAAAGAUUCAGUUAUUCAUCAGAUCUUUCAGAAAUAUUAUGAUAUUUAUAUUUGAUAUUUUCUCAGCAGUUAAUAUUUUCUUAAACCACUGUGGAUACCCGGUUACAGAAACAGGUUGCCGUCAAAUAAGACGAUGUCUACGGACAUCCAGAUUGCCUUCGGUUUAUGUUGCCUUCGGAUAUGAUGAUGUCUACAGACAUCCAGUUUACUUUCAGUUACGUCAGUGCACUUGACAUUUGCCUCACGAGUUUUGGGGACGCCCGGACCGUGAGUGCCAGGAUUGCGAAUCAGGCUGACUACGGUCUCCUGAAUCCUGCCAGUUUGCGGCUCGGAUACACUAUGUGUCGCCGAGACCUGCCAGGGGAAUUAACGGAUUUACAGAGGAUUUGACAGUUUUACAGGGGUACACCUAGGUGGUAGUUUUAAAGAAAUUUCAGUGCUUUUAUGCAAAUAUUGAUUUCAGUGAUUUUACUCAAUAUUUCCUUGGUAUUGAGCAUAUCCUACAUCUGGAUAUAUAUAUAUAUAGAUGUAUAUAUUUAUGUGAAUGCUUGAAUUUACCCUAAAUUCAGUGCAGUUUACAUAUUCAGUUUUAUGAUUAUCAUUGUUUUUACAGUGGGGGUUAUUAUGUUCAUACACUGUUUGAGAACUCUAUUUUGGUCCACUCACACUUUUAAUGUUUUGCGCCCCCCCAGGCCGUAGAAGAACGAAGGAAACCACUCGGGCCAUCAUCCUAGCUUCCGACCCACCACCAAAGUGUAGGAGUUCGUUGUAACUCUUUUGUAAAUCCUGUAAAUUUGUAUAGAAAUGCUCUGAGAUCUGGUUGAACAUAAGGAACUGGUAGGAUUUUUGAGACUGUUUGACAGGUGGAAGACUUUGUGUUUGGUCAAAAUACAGGG
Molecule: long non-coding RNA, 1251 nt
Filed under: Prunus persica (peach)
Lineage: Eukaryota; Viridiplantae; Streptophyta; Magnoliopsida; Rosales; Rosaceae
Description: long non-coding RNA (PPER_LNC006779)
Source: RNAcentral